RNAcentral lists this ribosomal RNA (456 nucleotides) under uncultured bacterium. Its description in RNAcentral is "bacterial SSU rRNA". It matches the Rfam family "Bacterial small subunit ribosomal RNA", at positions 15 to 518 of the family's 1533-position model. The record is from RNAcentral.
GAUUAUGGCUCAGAACGAACGCUGGCGGCAGGCUUAACACAUGCAAGUCGAACGCACCGCAAGGUGAGUGGCAGACGGGUGAGUAACGCGUGGGAACCUUCCCUUUGGUACGGAAUAACUUCGGGAAACCGAAGCUAAUACCGUAUAUCUCCUGUGGGAGAAAGAUUUAUCGCCAAAGGAUGGGCCCGCGUUGGAUUAGCUAGUUGGUAGGGUAAAAGCCUACCAAGGCGACGAUCCAUAGCUGGUCUGAGAGGAUGAUCAGCCACACUGGGACUGAGACACGGCCCAGACUCCUACGGGAGGCAGCAGUGGGGAAUAUUGGACAAUGGGCGCAAGCCUGAAUCCAGCCAUGCCGCGUGAGUGAAGAAGGCCUUAGGGUUGUAAAGCUCUUUUGGCGGGGACGAUAAUGACGGUACCCGCAGAAUAAGCCCCGGCUAACUUCGUGCCAGCAGCCGC